This is a long non-coding RNA of Acinonyx jubatus (cheetah), 2727 nucleotides long. RefSeq lists it as uncharacterized. The record is from RefSeq and is a predicted model, not a curated record. Lineage: Eukaryota; Metazoa; Chordata; Mammalia; Carnivora; Felidae. The transcript has 2 exons.
GAUUAAAGCUUCGAGUGGACGCGUUCCCGGCUACGACAUUUCACAUCAAUAAAGCAACGUGGGUCAGAUAAAAGUCCUGUGCCCACCUUACAGAUGUUGGAAGUGACCACGUGUUCGUGCCAUUUCUUGGCCACAGAAAUAUUCUUUUCCGUGAUCCAUUUAUACAGUCUGGUUGCUCAUAGACAGCACCUCCUUCCUUUCUGCACGACUUUUCAACUCUUACCCAGGCGAGGUUUCUGGUUAAUAAGAAGGCUGCCGACUCAACGCUGCUGGACUGGGUGCCGUUCUCUCUCGUGUCGGAUCAGGGCUCUUCCUUGCUGCUUCUCGGUAUUUCAUCAUGGCCUCCUAAGGCAGCUGAGAAGGAAAAGCCAAGGGACCCAGGCCAGCUGGAGAGGACAGGUCAGAGCCAUGGGCUGGUCACGCAGCCAGCCGAGGGCCACGGGCACGCAGGUGAAGCUCGUUUUAGGAAUUAGCGAGAACGUGACGGGCUUCAGAAAGGGGCAGACUCACCAGCUACUUCCUUGUGAAGGAACAUUUGCGGUCUAGAGUGACUGGCCAGGAUGGAGUGACCCAAGUCGUGCCUCCCGCUGUGACACAGCUGGAAAAGCCACCCCCCUCCAAGGCUUGGGGGCGGUGUGGGCAUCUGCCUCAGCAGCUAUGGCACCGUGGACAAGUGGGUGGCACCGUGGACAAGUGGGCCACCUCCCGGGUCCUCAGAUUCCAUGUCCUAACAUGGAGCUGAUGAUAAUUACAUCUCAGAAGCGGAACUCAGGACCCGAUGAGUUUACACCCGCCCAGAACACUGCAGGUGCGUCAUUGAUGUGUACCUGGUCCUCCACUCUGCACCUGUUCUAGCCCCUGACUUCGGAGCUGUGACGUCAGACCAGUGGUUCCAAGCUUUUAAACCUCAGGUUCUCCCUGCCAGACAUUUCUGGGAGCAUUGAGGAGAAGGGCUGGGGCGCCCUCGCCCGCAGUGACACAUCGUGAGUCGUCGGCAGCCUGUGGACGUGAUGAGCCUCUGUGGUGCAGGCGGUGGGGGAUUUCACGACCCACCGCUGAGCAGGCACUGGCGCCCUGACCUUUCUUGUAAAAUCUUUACUUUUGCACACAAGGCACUCACUCCGGUUGGCCUCUCCAGCCAAUCUCGUGAUAAUUGCUGACAGAGUGUCCUGGAGCCCAAGCCUCACGUUCGACAAGGGGAGCGCGAGUCCGCGGCGAGGGGGGGGGCGGGCUACGUGCAUCGAGCAAUAGCAGCAUAACAAAGCUCACCACCCAGGUAAACAACCAUCACGGUGAGGACUGAGCUUGGGUGAGGCGCCCAACAUUUUCUCAUAAUCUGUGCCGCCGUGGCAGUCGCUUGCCUUGCAAAGCCACGCAGCCAAGAAAUCUUAGCCUCCUGUUGGCAGUCGAGCACGUAGGCAUAGAGCCCUGGCCCCUCACCGCUGCCAGAGAGGAGGGAUAAUGUCCAGCGCUCUUCCCCAGAAGGAUGUCACACAGACUCCAGUCCCUAGCAACCGGUCUCCUGAUAGAACAGCUGGACGGGAUUCCAGCGUCGAAGGAUCACGAUAAACCACCCUUGGCAUUUUUCUCUCUGUGAGUAAUAUUCAUAGGAUCGCAUUUACAUUUUCUCUGUAAUAAAUCAAAAGCAAGAUGCCCCCGUUUCUAAUUUAUCUUGUGGACUGCUCUAGGGAUAUCUUGCCGCUGAGAAUAUUGCCAAUAUUUCUUUAAAAAUCCUAAGAUACACGGGUUCUGAAUGUUGAAUGUGGCAGUCUCAUUCGUGCCCGAAAACUUUAUUCCGGGAGGGGUGUUUUCUUCACUUUUCGGUUUCUAAAGAAAGCAAUACACAAAUAACGUCAAGCAAGCAUGAACUGUCAACACUAAAAUAUUGACUUUGCUCCAACCCUGUCUUACAAAGGGAAAACAUUAACAAUUGAGAUCAUAAGCAGACCUAUGUACCAAGCGUAUGAAUUAUGAAUCAAAAGACAAAAAUGUGGUUUUUUCCUUUCUGCAUAGACGCAGAACAGGAUAUUAUAACCCUAAGGGAAAAUAGAAGUCAGUGCUCACGAAGCAUUGUAGCUGCGUAUUCGGCAACAAGAAUGUUCCCCUAUUUGCAGCACACAGGACACAGCCAGCAAUCGUGACUGGUUGGUUGACCGGUAACAACGCUGAUUGUAGGAAAUUUCAUGAAUUUGGACUCUGCUACUUUAGAACUUGCGAUGCAGGAGGGCUCUGCUUGAAAAACAUCUUUAUAGAAGCGGCUGGGUGGCUCGGUCGGUUAAGCAUCCGACUUCGGCUCGGGUCAUGAUCUCGCGGUUCGUGGGUUCGAGCCCCACGUCAGGCUCUGGGCUGACGGCUCGGAGCCUGGAGCCCGCUUCGGGUUCUGUGUCUCCCUCUCUCUCUUCCCCUCCUCCCACUCCCACUCUGUCUCUCUCUCAAAAAUAAAAUAAACAUUAAAAAAUGUGUUUAAAUAUCUCUAUAAUCUUUAUGGGGAAAAAAAUCUAUUUAGUAGACAAGCCUUCAUGUAAAUACAAUUACCAGGGACAUGCCCACCAUGCUUAUGAGCACGUGCUGCUUCUAAGAGGCUUGGGACCUUUGUUUCCCUGCGAAUUCUUAUCAUAUGCUAAUUAUAAACCAUAUUAACCUGUGCUUAAUUUUUAUUAUGAAAUAAUAUGGCUUCUUACAAUAGGAAACUGGCUCCAAAGUAUAUAAAAUAAAACGUGAAAUGUU